CUACUUUGGCUUCCGGUAGAGUUUUGCUAUAUGGUUUUGAAUACAUGAUGUUAAAUAAAAUAUUUAAGUUAUGUUCAUAUAUUUUUUUGUUUUUGUUUUAGUUACGUGUUAUACUGUCAAACUUUAUCAAGUGUUUGUACCAGCAAUGCCAUAGAUGGCGGUCAGUGAGAGACAACGACGUUCAAAACGGUCAUUACAUUAGCAGGUACAGCAGAUAUCUCCCAACUCACCACUUCGAUGUUGGAGAAUCCGGUAAGGACGAGGUUUUUGAGAAGCUCACAACCGAUUCCUCCGGCUCCUACCACCAGAACCCGACAGGAGGAGACUGUCUCGGCUAGCUCUUUAUGGAGGGAUCCCACCAGCGCCAUCAUGGAGCGGCAAAGACAGCAACAAUACCGAGACGGACUGACAAGGGCCAUCAAAAACAAGAAGAUAACGAACAGCGCCGAGCGGGAGCUGCUAGUCCUACAUCUCCAUCUGUGGGCUUGGAGGACUCUGCCAUCAUUAAAUAAUGACCGGGGUUCUUGUUUAAUUGUAAAAUAGGGAGAAAUAAAAAGUUACGUGUUUU
Molecule: long non-coding RNA, 568 nt
Organism: Acipenser ruthenus (sterlet)
Lineage: Eukaryota; Metazoa; Chordata; Actinopteri; Acipenseriformes; Acipenseridae
Exons: 2
Source: RefSeq, a predicted model, not a curated record